UACGGCUAAAUCGCGUUGAAAUACCGAUUCUCGUGCAUUCACUAAAGUUAAGCAACGUAGAGCCUGGUCAGUACCUAAAUGGGUGACAGCUUGGAAAUACUAGGAGCUGCAA
This is a non-coding RNA of Acanthosepion pharaonis, 112 nucleotides long. Lineage: Eukaryota; Metazoa; Mollusca; Cephalopoda; Sepiida; Sepiidae. The record is from the annotation of a GenBank genome assembly.